This 98-nucleotide non-coding RNA is filed under the name Lactobacillus acetotolerans. RNAcentral describes it as "Guanine sequence". It matches the Rfam family "Purine riboswitch aptamer". Rfam says of the family: Riboswitches are metabolite binding domains within certain messenger RNAs that serve as precision sensors for their corresponding targets. Allosteric rearrangement of mRNA structure is mediated by ligand binding, and this results in modulation of gene expression. Lineage: Bacteria; Bacillati; Bacillota; Bacilli; Lactobacillales; Lactobacillaceae. The record is from Rfam by way of RNAcentral.
CAAUUAACAUUUAAAUAUAUCUAUAUAUUGUCGUGAUAAGGACGGCAGUCUCUACUCAGAACCGUAAAUUCUGAACUAUAGGUAAUCGUAAGUUGCAA